GUAUUUAAGGUAGCCCUAAGGUCACCAAAAAGUUGGACUUAGGCUGCUCUCGGAUUGCUGUUUUCAGGGCUGUGUACCAGUACAAGCUGAUGGCUGUACCGGUACAGGGUUGAUGGUUGUACCGGUACAGCCACCGGGCUUGUACCGGUACAGAGCCGUUGAAUCCCCAACCCGAGCCUCGGGUUGUGAUGUUUCGUAGGGCUUGUACCGGUACAGGGGCCCGUGUAUCGGUACAAGGUGGCAGAUUUUGAGCAGUUCGAACUGCAGGGGUGUUUUUGCUAUUGUAGCAUCUCUAUAAUACCACCCACGCCCCUUUGCUGAUCUCCUGAGCUGGGAAACACAGGAGGACAAGGUAGGGAGCCCUUCUCUUCUUCUCUUUUGAUUU
This 385-nucleotide long non-coding RNA is filed under the name Ananas comosus (pineapple). Its description in RNAcentral is "long non-coding RNA (ACOM_LNC040346)". The record is from RNAcentral. Lineage: Eukaryota; Viridiplantae; Streptophyta; Magnoliopsida; Poales; Bromeliaceae.